This 504-nucleotide ribosomal RNA is filed under the name Trichodorus primitivus. RNAcentral's name for it is "SSU rRNA". It matches the Rfam family "Eukaryotic small subunit ribosomal RNA", at positions 88 to 590 of the family's 1831-position model. Lineage: Eukaryota; Metazoa; Nematoda; Enoplea; Triplonchida; Trichodoridae. The record is from RNAcentral.
CGCGAAUAGCUCAUUACAACAGCCAUAGUUUAUUGGAUGUUUACGUUCCUACAAGGACACCUGCGGUAAUUCUGGAGCUAAUACUUGCGAAAUGCGACAACCUCACGGGAGUCGUGCAUUUAUUAGAUUAAACCAAUCGGUCCUUCGGGACCGCCAUUUGGUGAACUCUGAAUAACUUAGCUGAUCGCACAGUCUCGUACUGGCGACAAAUCUUUCAAGUGUCUGCCUUAUCAACUUUCGAUGGUAGUUUAUACGACUACCAUGGUUGUAACGGGUAACGGAGAAUAAGGGUUCGACUCCGGAGAGGGAGCCUGAGAAACGGCUACCACAUCCAAGGAAGGCAGCAGGCGCGCAAAUUACCCACUCGCAGAACGCGGAGGUAGUGACGAAAAAUAACGAGGUGGCUCUCUAUGAGGUCCAUCAUCGGAAUGGGUACAAUUUAAAUCCUUUAACGAGGAUCUAUUGGAGGGCAAGUCUGGGCCAGCAGCCGCGGUAAUUCCAGCU